RNAcentral lists this ribosomal RNA (253 nucleotides) under uncultured bacterium. RNAcentral describes it as "partial 16S ribosomal RNA". It matches the Rfam family "Bacterial small subunit ribosomal RNA", at positions 524 to 776 of the family's 1533-position model. The record is from RNAcentral.
UACGUAGGGCGCGAGCGUUAUCCGGAAUUAUUGGGCGUAAAGAGCUCGUAGGCGGUUUGUCACGUCUGCUGUGAAAACUGGAGGCUCAACCUCCAGCCUGCAGUGGGUACGGGCAGACUAGAGUGCGGUAGGGGAGAUUGGAAUUCCUGGUGUAGCGGUGAAAUGCGCAGAUAUCAGGAGGAACACCGGUGGCGAAGGCGGGUCUCUGGGCCGAUACUGACGCUGAGGAGCGAAAGCGUGGGGAGCGAACAGG